This 273-nucleotide unclassified non-coding RNA is filed under the name Hevea brasiliensis (rubber tree). The record is from RNAcentral. Lineage: Eukaryota; Viridiplantae; Streptophyta; Magnoliopsida; Malpighiales; Euphorbiaceae.
GCAAUGGAAGGUGGAUGUCCCAUUUUGUGUACCCUACUUGCAUGUAUCUUGUCUUCUGAAUUUAAUAUAAAGUUGCUUUAUAUUUGGUAAUGAUUAGCAACACUAGUGUAAUAAUUUUCUUUUGAUCCAAAUUCAUAUAGGCAGAGUUAAACAGAAAGAUGCAGUGAAUUAGACAAAGAGCCAUGUUAUACUCUUAUCAUUUUAUUCUCCCCCUUAUCCUCUUCAAAAGAGUUCAUCAUCUAGUUAAAUCUAGGUGAGAAGAACUCCGUUCUU